Balaenoptera ricei (Rice's whale) is the source of this 396-nucleotide long non-coding RNA. RefSeq lists it as uncharacterized. Lineage: Eukaryota; Metazoa; Chordata; Mammalia; Artiodactyla; Balaenopteridae. The record is from RefSeq and is a predicted model, not a curated record. The transcript is spliced from 4 exons.
GCUAGAUCAUAGGGGAUGAGAGAAUAUGGAGCAGACUUGGACCCAAGCCAUAGACUAAAACCAAGCCCAGCCAAUCCCAGCCUCUAUCAGCUGAACCCCAGGAGGAAGACUCCAUCUAAACCUGGAGCAGACACGUGAUGACUUGAGAAUUUCUGAAACACCUGUCUACCUUUGAAAGAAGCACAAAAUUUUAAAGUCUCAAGAUUGGAAAGAAGAUGAAAACUGAAGGAAGGUUCAAUCACAAAUAGUUAUAAAAGGCAAAUCCAAGUAACCUGCACUUCUUGGCCCUGAAGAUGAUGGCCCAGCAUCAAAGCAACAGGAAGGGCACUGAGGUGAUAAUGAUGAUGAGAUGAGCAAUGGCAUGUGCACAUGGGAAGGUGUUCAUAGGAGGCUUCU